This 274-nucleotide ribosomal RNA is filed under the name uncultured bacterium. RNAcentral describes it as "partial 16S ribosomal RNA". It matches the Rfam family "Bacterial small subunit ribosomal RNA", at positions 523 to 796 of the family's 1533-position model. The record is from RNAcentral.
AUACGGAGGGGGCUAGCGUUGUUCGGAAUUACUGGGCGUAAAGCGUACGUAGGCGGACUGAUCAGUUGGGGGUGAAAUCCCAGGGCUUAACCCUGGAACUGCCUUCAAUACUGUCAGUCUUGAGAUUGGAAGAGGUGAGUGGAAUUCCUAGUGUAGAGGUGAAAUUCAUAGAUAUUAGGAGGAACACCAGUGGCGAAGGCGGCUCACUGGUCCAAUACUGACGAUGAGGUACGAAAGCGUGGGGAGCAAACAGGAUUAGAUACCCCAGUAGUCC